Molecule: small RNA, 512 nt
Filed under: Pan troglodytes (chimpanzee)
Lineage: Eukaryota; Metazoa; Chordata; Mammalia; Primates; Hominidae
Description: processed transcript
Source: RNAcentral
CCCAGAGACUCAAAGUAAAUCUUCUCUUUGGCAAAUCAGAAGGCUCUGCAUAAAUACUGCCAAUUGUUAAACAUUUACCUGCACAUACUGGGCUCAUCUUCAUUAUUGGUAAAAUGAGCUAGAUGCUAUUUUCCAUUAGCUCACACUCCAAUUCCAAUCGACCUGACCAUCAGAAAAGACAAAAAGGGAAAAUCCUGGCCAGUUCUCCCCUACCUGAUCAACCAGUAGCAUAAUCAGAUUUGCAAGACCUCAAGAAAAGAAACCUGAAAAUGCCACUGGAGGUGUGUGUUUUGCCAAAGAAAAAAGAAUCAAAAACAAAACCUGCAGGAUGAGGACAAACAAACAAAGAGCAGGGGCUCAGCCACGAACCUUGUGAUGGAUGAGGAAAAGAUAUCCUUUUUCUCCCCUUACAGUUUCUGGCAGCCAACAUGGGGUGGCUGUGACAUCCCACUAGUUCCAGAACCUGCAGAUGAGAUCCUGGGACAACCAAUAAAAAAACAACAAAAAGUUAA